This 423-nucleotide ribosomal RNA is filed under the name uncultured bacterium. RNAcentral's name for it is "bacterial SSU rRNA". It matches the Rfam family "Bacterial small subunit ribosomal RNA", at positions 207 to 622 of the family's 1533-position model. The record is from RNAcentral.
AAGACCCUGCGCUUUUGGAGCGGCCGAUGUCUGAUUAGCUUGUUGGUAAGGUAAAAGCUUACCAAGGCUUCGAUCAGUAGCUGGUCUGAGAGGACGACCAGCCACACUGGGACUGAGACACGGCCCAGACUCCUACGGGAGGCAGCAGUGGGGAAUUUUGGACAAUGGGGGCAACCCUGAUCCAGCCAUGCCGCGUGAGUGAAGAAGGCCUUCGGGUUGUAAAGCUCUUUCAGCCGGAACGAAACGGUUACGGUUAAUACCCGUGACUACUGACGGUACCGGAAGAAGAAGCACCGGCUAACUACGUGCCAGCAGCCGCGGUAAUACGUAGGGUGCGAGCGUUAAUCGGAAUUACUGGGCGUAAAGCGUGCGCAGGUGGUUUUGUAAGUCAGAUGUGAAAUCCCCGGGCUCAACCUGGGAACU